RNAcentral lists this ribosomal RNA (253 nucleotides) under uncultured bacterium. Its description in RNAcentral is "partial 16S ribosomal RNA". It matches the Rfam family "Bacterial small subunit ribosomal RNA", at positions 524 to 776 of the family's 1533-position model. The record is from RNAcentral.
UACAGAGGUGGCAAGCGUUGUUCGGAAUUACUGGGCGUAAAGGGCGCGUAGGCGGCCUUCUAAGUCAGACGUGAAAUCCCCCGGCUUAACCUGGGAACUGCGUCUGAUACUGGAGGGCUUGAGUAUGGGAGAGGGAUGUAGAAUUCCAGGUGUAGCGGUGAAAUGCGUAGAUAUCUGGAGGAACACCGGUGGCGAAGGCGGCAUCCUGGACCAACACUGACACUGAGGAGCGAAAGCCAGGGGAGCAAACGGG